RNAcentral lists this ribosomal RNA (434 nucleotides) under Clostridioides difficile. Its description in RNAcentral is "bacterial LSU rRNA". It matches the Rfam family "Bacterial large subunit ribosomal RNA", at positions 832 to 1273 of the family's 2925-position model. Lineage: Bacteria; Bacillati; Bacillota; Clostridia; Peptostreptococcales; Peptostreptococcaceae. The record is from RNAcentral.
AUCGGGCCCGGGGAUGGCUGGUUCUGCCCGAAAAAGCUUUAGGGCUGGCGUCAAGUUGGGAGAGACGGCAGUGUAGAACUGAAGGUCCUAUGGGGCAUUGCAACUACCGAAGACUAUCAAACUCCGAAUGCCGUCAUCUUAUACUUGGGAGUCAGAGUGUGGGUGAUAAGAUUCAUAGUCGAAAGGGCAACAGCCCAGAUCGCCAGCUAAGGUCCCUAAAUGUAAGUUAAGUGGUAAAGGAUGUGGGAUUGCACAGACAACCAGGAUGUUGGCUUAGAAGCAGCCACCCAUUCAACGAGUGCGUAAUAGCUCACUGGUCGUGUGAUCCUGCGCCGAUGAUUUCCGGGGCUAAAACUUACUACCGAAGCUUCGGCAUCAGUCAUGAUCGGUAUGGGCUCUUUCCAUUAGGGUUGAAGCUGCACCGUAAGGCAUGU